Long non-coding RNA from Misgurnus anguillicaudatus (oriental weatherfish), 1476 nucleotides. RefSeq lists it as uncharacterized. Lineage: Eukaryota; Metazoa; Chordata; Actinopteri; Cypriniformes; Cobitidae. The record is from RefSeq and is a predicted model, not a curated record.
AAUGUUAAUUAAUGUUAAUAUGAGCGCCAUUUCAUAGUGUAAACUUUUACUAUACGAAUAAUCUCCAUUGUCAUUGUCAAUCAAAUUUAGAUGAUGAUGACGGCCAGAGUCUGGCUGGCUCUCAUUCAGAGGCUGCAGCAAGCAUCUCUCAAGCACCUCUAGCAACUCCGUUUACAGAGGCAGGGAGGAAUAAAAUGACAGAGCCGAGGAUAAACGAAUGUCAUCGAGCCGUGACUAAGUUUGUGGUAAAGGGUUUGCAUCCGUUUGCCACAGUAGAAGCCUCUGCAUUUCGCCAGAUGAUAAAGACUAUCAACCCAAAAUACAAUGCCCCAAACAGAGACAGUUUAACAAAUCAUCUGAUUCCUGCUUGGUAUGGGGUUGAAAAGAGCAAUCUGAUCAAAGACCUGAAACAUGUCACACAUGCAGCCAUCACAGCAGAUGGAUGGACUAGUUUCAGUCAAGACCACUACCUCACCGUAACAUUGCACUAUAUCAGGGAAGGUCUGACUAAAGAAAAAGUCCUCCAAACCAAAGCUGUGUACAGAGCUCAAACAGGGAUAGCUGUGGCUGAGGAGAUUGAGGGGUCCUGGAGGAGUUUGAAGUAAAAGAGAAGGUGGUGGCGGCAACAGUGGAUAACGCAGCAAACAUGGAUGUAGCUGUGAAAACGGUAAAUAUCAUCAAGUUUCCAUGUUUUGCGCACACUUGAACCUCAGAAGCUGUACAACUGCAAUACAGUUUCCAACUGGGCAGCAAGGAUUCAUUCUUUGAUCGUUGGAUGAAGAGAUCCCACAUGGCUAAAGUAGUCCUGAAGGAAAAGCAACAACUCCUCAAUCUUCCCCAGCACAUGCUCCUUUUAGAUGUGAGGACGAGAUGGAACUCUGUAUUUGAUGAUGGAGAGAUUUUGUGAACAGUUUCCUGCUAUCCAAGCUGCAUCUAUAGACCAACGGCUUAGAAAGCCCAUGGAGAAGAAAGAAAAUAAUGUUUGAAAAAAUGUAAAAUGACUAAAAGCCAUUAAAAGGGUUAUGGUGUUGUUUAGCCAAUUUUUUUAUGUUGCAGACUGGCCAGAAUGGGCAAUGAGGACCUGAGGAAAGCAGAGAAGUUUGUGCUGCUGAUGAGGAUGAAUUACACAUCCACACUUGCUGUCUCCAGCGAAAAAGUCCAACCUGUGGCCAGAUAUUGCCCAUCCUUCAGAAAAUGUGCAAACAUUACACAGUGCAGGCAGACGACUCUGCAUUCGUCAGGAGCAUCAAGAAAAACAUCUGGAAUGAUCUUUCCAAACGUAACCAGACACCACCUGUAAAGCAGAAAAAGAGGACAGCCCUAGAGGAACUUUUCGAAGAAGAGGACAGCAAGCUGCUUUCCAUGCAGCAGCAGCCCCCUGUAUCCACAGCCCAGAGAGUGGAGCAAGAAGUCCAGCUUUAUAUAAGCCUUCCUCCCAUUCCAACCAAAGACAAUGCCAGUUUCUGGUGGUGGAAG